Homo sapiens (human) is the source of this 10409-nucleotide long non-coding RNA. RefSeq lists it as uncharacterized. The transcript is spliced from 2 exons. Lineage: Eukaryota; Metazoa; Chordata; Mammalia; Primates; Hominidae. The record is from RefSeq and is a predicted model, not a curated record.
CAACUACAUGGAACUGAACAACCUGCUCCUGAAUGACUACUGGGUAAAUAACGAAAUGAAGGCAGAAAUAAAGAUCUUCUUUUAAAGCAAUGAUAACAGAGACACAACGUGCCAGAAUCUCUGGGACACAUUUAAAGCACUGUGUAGAGGGAAAUUUAUAGCACUAAUUGCCUACAAGAGAAAGCAGGAAAGAUCUAAAAUUGACACCCUAACUUCACAAUUAAAAGACCUAGAGAAGCAAGAGCAAACAAAUUCAAAAGCUAGCAGAAGGCAAGAAAUAACUAAGAUCAGAGUAGAACUGAAGGAGAUAGAGGCACAAAAAAACCCUUCAAAAAAUCAAUGAAUCCAGGAGCUGGUUUUUUGAAAAGAUCAACAAAAUUGAAAUAGCCAAAGUAUAAAUGGUUUGUUUGUAUUUUGAUCUGAAAUAUUUUCUUCUGUUCUGUUUUCUUAAAACAUAGCUGAUAAAAAGAGGCAGAGGAAGGUGGCAUCUAUUUUUUAUUGUUUAUGUGAAGUUUCCCUGCUACACGGAAAACAAGUCAGGCAGUUUUUAAGGUGGCUCUUGCCUAUUGCUUUUCAGGGGGUAAGAGAAAAUGGUAGUGUGAAGAUCAGAUUUCAGACCUUUGGUUUUGCGUUUCUAUUUACUGCUCCUGCAUGACAUAGAUGUGUGAAGAGGGCACAAAACGGAAGGCCAAUCCAUUUGGCAAGGAUGUGGGAAGGGAGAUGGAGCAAUCUUUCAUUUACCAGUAUUAAUAGUCUUAUCUUAAGGAUACAGAGCUGAUAGUGAAGAAAUAGUCACCAGGGGAUCCUAAAGACAUGUGGAAAAGACUCUUUUUCUAUUUACUGUUGAAAUUGGAGGAAAAUAAAACUUUCUCAGGUGUUACUGAUUUGUAUUUAAGCUAGUGAUUUCUUGGGGGUUUUGCCCAAUAAGGCUACUUCCUUGCAGUAACGGCAUCAUUGUGAAUACUGUAAACCUCAGUGAUGACACUGACCUAAUUCUCUUCCCACUUCCCACUUACCUUGUCAUGAAGUUACAUGUUCUAUUUAUGUACUUGCAGAUAGACUGUGCCCAUCUCUGUAAUGUCACCUUUUUUGUUAUUUUGUAAUCGUUGUUAUAUCAUUCAUCUAUCUCCCUUACCAGCUUUUUUGAAAACAGGCAUCUUGUUGCAUUGGUUUUUGUACACUCAGAGCCUAACAUAGGUCUUGGCUUAAGAAAUAUUUCUUUUUCAUUAAUUUGUAUUUAACAAACAUUUAUGUAGUACAUACUACAUGUUAAUACAUAUUAAAUCAUUUAAUCCUAACUCAAUGAAAUAAGGUAGGUUAUUAUCUCUGUUUUAUGCCUCUCCCAGAGGCAGAAUGAAUGAAUCAGCCAGGUCAUACAGCUAACAGGUUGGCAAAGCCAAGAUAUGAACCAAGCCAGUCUGGCACUAUAGUUUGUUGAAGAAGGAAAGACAAGAAAAAUUUGAGAUAACUAAAAUGGUUAAAAUUUGGCUUUAGAUAUUCUUGUUUCUAUAACUAACUCUCCUUGGCUCUUAAUCUGACAUACAGAUUUUUAAACUCUAGAGCACAAAUAUGCUAGAGAUGGUGGGCAAGUAUUUUCUUUCCUUGCAAGGAGCCACAAUGUCAGAUAAAACAUAAAAUUUUAUUCUCAAAUUUUUAAAAAUUUCACCUGCAGAUUUUAUGAUGACGAUGGCAGCAGAUUGUUUUUCAUGAGGCAUUUCUUUGACUUUGAGAGACUUUUUCUGUUUCUUGUUUGUAUUCGUUACUCUCUGUGCCUUAAAUAGCAUAUUAUGGUUUUGCUUGUAGUUUAUUAAAUCCACAGUUCUCCAGAAGAAUGCCCUAGCUUAUGAUUUUUGUUUUUGACAUCUGUCAUUUCCUUGAAAACAAGUUGGCUUUAUUUACAAGGUGAUUUUUUUUCUUGUUUUCUCCCUAUCCUCUUUCUCUCCUUUUCUUAAAGAUAAAUACAUUCUACAUUUCUUUUGUAAUUUAUUCAGCAUUAUAGGUUCUUCAUAGUGGGUUCUAGAGAGGUUCUUCACUUGUUCUAUUUAGGUUGUAGUGUUUAUUUGAUGUGUGUAUAUUACCCCAUUAUCUUAUCUUAAUAAAUAGUACUUAGCUAUAGUACAAUCCUAGUCUUGAACAUGGUAGGGUCUAAUAACCAUAGUUUUGGUCAAUGUACAUUUUAUAGCCUUUUCUUGUUAUAGGAGUGUGUUACUUCUUUUUUUUUUUUGGAAUCUAAACUUAGUGUCACUUCACUUAUGAUGCUCAUAACUUCCUUUUUUGUCUUAUUUGUAGCCCAUACCAUUUUACAAAAGUUGUCGUAUUUCCUCAGUACUGUUUGUAAUAAGAGAAAGCCUAGGCAGCAUUUUGAAUAGCUUCUUCUACUCCAGUUUGAAAAUGUUGGUAGGUCAGCCUAUUUUACUAUUUUUAUUAACUCUGCAUUAUUUUGGCAGGUAGAUAUAAAGUAGCUUUAGAAUUUUCUUAGGAUUUCUUUUAUUUCCUUAAAAUUGGUAAAAUAAUUACUUUUUAGCCAUGGGCAAUGGAUAUUGAAUUUCAGUUCCUCUGAUCUGGUAAAAGGCUUGUUAGAGAAACUUCUUUAUUUUCCCUGUGAUUACUUGUUCCAUAUUUCUUAGUAGGUCUGGGUCACAGACUGGUCAAGAAUCUGAAAUGUACUAAAGAUGGGUCAUUGCUUACUACAAAUUUAAUGUCUGUUGUUGGUUGUUAUCACUAUUGCCUCUAUAGUGUUAUUAAAAGGCGAUCAGGAGUUCGAAACCAGCCUGGUCAACAUGAUGAAACCCUGUCUCUACUAAAAAUACACACACACACAAAAUUAGCCAGGCGUGGUGGCCACCACGCCUGGCUAAUUUUUGUAUUUUUAGUAGAGACGGGGUUUCACCAUGUUGGUCAGGCUGGUCUCAGACUCCUGACCUCAGGUGAUCCACCCACCUUGGCCUCCCAAAGUGCUGGGAUUAUAGUCAUAAGCCACUGUGCCUGGCCAAAAAAAAAAGUUUUAUAGUACUUAGGGACACACAGUCUUAUGACUACUUCCUAUUCUGUGACUACUUUCAUAUAUUCUUUUGGUUAAAAUUUUAUCUAAUUUUAUUUUGUUCUUUUUAAUGUGUACUUAAUGUGUAAUAUAUGUCUUAAUUCUAUCUAAUACUAGGCUAUCUUCAAGUUAUAAUACCACUUAUAAGCCUAGAUUUUAUUGACAAUCCAGAGGCAUCGUCAUACUUCUAAUUGACAAAAAAAAAAACCAAAAAACUAAAGAAGGUGUGAGGCACAUUAUACUAUUAAACUCCUCACAGACUAAAAGGUCUGUAGGUAAAACAAGAAUUGUUCCUUGCUAGGCCUGCCAUGGUAAACAAAAGCAAACAAACAAAGAAAGAACAAGAAUAGGAAUAACAGCAGAUUUCUCAACAGAAACAAUGCAGGACAAGGCAGUACAACAGCUUAUUCAAAGAGCUGAGGGAAAAGGAAACUGUGGCAAUCAAGCAAAAUCAUUCUUCAAAACUGAAGGUAAUAUAAAGGCAUUUCCACAUUAAGAAAGACUAAGAGUACUAGUUUACCUGCCUUACAAUAAAUACUAAUAGAAGUCUGUUUAGAUGAAAGGAAAAUGACAUAAGGCAGUAACUCAAAUCCACACAAAGAAAUAAAAAGCAUCAAUAAAGAUGUGUAUUUCCUUUUCCUUAAACAAUUUUAGACACCUGAAUAAAACAAUAAUAAUCCUGUAUUGAGCUUACAAGAUAUAAAGAUCGUGUGUGUGUGUACAUUUGUGUAUACAUUUGCACAAGGGAGAUGAGAAGGGAGGGAGCUAUAUUAGAGUGAAUUUUCCAUAUACUGGAAUUAAGUUAGUGGAAAGGAAGUAAAACUGUCUUUAUUUAUAAAUAACAUCAUCCUGCAUAUAGAGAAUCAUAAGAAAUCCACAAAAAAAGGUGAUGGAACUAAUAAAUGAGUUCAGCGAGGAUACAGGAUAUAAGAUCAAUAUGUAAAAAAUCAAUUUUAUUUCUGUUGAUUACCAAUGAACAAUUAAAAUACGGAUAUAUUUAACAGAAGUGCAAGACGUAUACACUGAAGACAUUAAAACAUGGCUGAGAGAAACUGAAGAACAUCUAAAUAGAUGGAAAUGGGUUCCAUGGUCAUGGAUUGGCCGUUUUUCCCAAAUUGAUCUGUAGAUUUGUUGCAAUCCUGAUCAGAAUUCCAGCAGAUUUUGAUAAUUCCUUUUUUGUGGAAACUGGUAAAACAGUCUUAAAAUUUAUAUGGAAGUGCAAAGGAGUGAGAAUAGCCAAAACAAUUUUGAGAACGAUGAGAAGAGUAGAGGGUUACUCUUUUCAGUUUCAUAAUUUGUUCUAAAGCUAUGGUAUAGUAGGUAGAAUUUUAAGAUGGCUCACAUGACCUUGGCCCCCUGGCAAAAUGGUUUCACUCUUGUGACUAUGUUAUGUUAUAUAUUUAAAAAGAUUAUCUUGGUAGGCCCGAUCUAAUAAAUAAGAAAAGCAGAGAGUUUUCUUUAGCUGAGAGUAAAAGAUGAAAUCAGAGAGAUUUGAAACAUGAGAAGGAUUCAACUUACCAUUUCUAGCUUUAAAGAUGAAUGGGGCUCAAAGCUGAGGAUAGUUCAUGGCUAACAGCAAGAAAAUAAGGAUUUAAGUCCUACAACCACAAGGAGCUAUAUUCUGUCAGCAACCUGAAUGAACUUGGAAUCAGUUUCCUCCUCAGAUAUUCCAAAUUAGAUCACAGCUCAGCUGACAACCUGGAUUCAGUCUUGUGAGAAACUAAACAUAGAACCUAGUUGAGUUGGUCUGGCCUUUUGACCUACAUAACUGUGAGCUAAUGAAUUUGGGUUAUUUUAAGCUGUUGCAUUUAUGGUAACUUGUUUUGGAAAAAUAGAGGAAGAAUACACACAGAGGGCUCCAAGAUGGCCAACUAGACCCAGGCAGGAGGAACAUUUCCCACCAAAGGACUGGGACAUCAGGAAAACUGGUACACUCCUAGCAGAUCUUCAGAAGGGAGGCAUUGAGAGUGGGCAGAAGGAAGAAACAGAUGCUGGGCUGAAAGGGGAGGAAGCUGGGAACCCUGCACAGGGCUACUGCACACUGGGACUUGUUCAUGGCCUUCAGUGACUCCUGUGGAGUGGGUGAGUUGAACAGGCAAGGAGCAACUCACUCUUAUCAUGGGCAUCUGGAAUCCCAGAAAUAAGACAGUCACACAACAGUAAAGAAAAAAGAAUGAAAGGGAAUGAAGAAAAUCUUCAAGAAAUAUAGGAUUACGUAAAGAGACCAAAUCUAUGACUCAUUGGCAUCUUUGAAAUAGAUGGGGAGAAACAACUUGGAAAACAUAUUUGGAAAACAUAUUUCAGGAUAUCAUUCAUGAGAACUUCCCCAACCUAGCUAGACCUGCUACCACCAGACCUGGUACCUGGUACCACCAGACCUGCUUUACAAGAGCUCCUGAAAGAAGCACUAAAUAUGGAAAGGAAAGACCAGCAACUGCAAAAACACACUUAAGUACACAGACCAGUGACACUAUAAUGCAACCACACAAAUAAAUCAGCAUAAUAAACAGCUAACAACAUGAUGACAGGAUCAAAUCCACACAUAUCAAUACUAACCUUGAAUGUAAACGAGCUAAAUACCCCAGUGAAAAGGCACAGAGUAGCAAACUGAAUGAAGAAGCAAGACCCAAUGGUAUGUUGUGUUCAAGAGACCCAUGUCAUGUGCAGUGACACCCGUAGGCUAAAAAUAAAGGGAUGGAGAAAAAUCUACCAAGCAAAUAAAAAACAGAAAAAAGUAAGGGUUGCAAUUCUAAUAUCAGACAAAACAGACUUUAAACAUCUUGCCUAGAAUCAGAAAACAAAGAUCAAAAAAGACAAAGAAGGCCAUUACAUAAUGGCAAAGGUUUUAAUUCAACAUGAAAACCUAAUUAGCCAAAAUGUGUUUGCAUCUAACACAAGGCGACCCAGAUUCAUAAAGCAAGUUCUUAGAGACCUUCAAAGAGACUUAAAUUUCCACACAAUAAUAGUGAGAUAUUUCAACACCCCCACUGACAGUAUUAGACAGAUCCUUAAGUCAGAAAAUUAACAAAGAUAUUCAGGACCUGAACACUGGACCAAAUGGAUCUGAUAGACAUCUAUAAAACUCUCUACCCCAAAACAACACAAUAUAUAUUCUUCUCAUCUGCACUGAGUACAACAUAAUCUAAAAUUGGUCAAACAAUUGGACAUAAAACAAUCUGCAGCAAAUGCAAAAGAACCAAAAUCAUAUAUUAGCUACUCUCUCAGACCACAGUACAAUAAAAAUAGAAUUCAAGACCAAGAAGAUCUUUGAAAACUAUACAGUUUCAUGGAAAUUAAACAAUCUGCUUGUGAAUGACUUUUGAGUAAAUAAUGAAAUUAAGGCAGAAAACAAGAAGUUCUUUGAAAUGAUUGAGAACAAAGGUACAAUAUACCAGAAUCUCUGGAACACAGCUAAGGCAGUGUUAAAAGGGAAAUUUAUAGCACUAAACAGCCACAUAAAAAGUUAGAAAGACCUCAGAUUAACAACGUAACAUCACAACUAAAAGAACUAGAGAAGCAAGAGCAAACCACCCCAAAGGAAGAGGUGACAGGAAAUAGCCAAAAUCAGAGCUUAACUGAAGGAGAUUGAAACACAAAGAAAACAUUUAAAAGAUAAACGAAGCCAGGAGCUGGUCUUUUGAAAAAAAUUAAUAAGCUGGAUAAACCACUAGGCAGACUAAUAAAGAAGAAAAGAGAGAAGAUCCAAGUAAACACAAUCAGUAAUGAAAAAGGGAAUAUUAUCACUGACCCCACAGAAAUGCAAAUAACCAUCAGAGACUAUUAUGAACACCUCUAUGCACACAAACUAGAAAAUCUAGAAGAAAUUGAUAAAUUUCUGGGUACAUACACUCUCCCAAGGCUGAACCAGGAAGAAAUUGAAUCUCUACACAUACCAAUAAUGAGCUCUGAAAUUGAAUCAGUAAUAACCUACCAACCAAAAAAAUCUCAAGACCAGAUAAAUUCACAGCCAAAUUCUACCAGAUGUACAAAGAAGGGCUGGUAGCAUUCCUACUGAAACGAUUCUAACAAAUUGAAAAGUAAGGACUCCUCCCUAACUCUUUCUAUGAGGCCAACAUUAUCCUGAUACCAAAACCUGGCAGAGACAUAACAAAAAAAAUCCCAGGACUAGACAGAUUCACAGCUGAAUUCUACCAGAGGACAAACAGGAGCUGGUACCAUUCCUUCUCACACUAUUCUGAACAACAGAAAAAGAGGGACUCCUCCCUAACUCAUUUUGUGAGGCCAGCAUCAUCCUGAUACCAAAACCUGGCAGAGACACAGCAAAAAAUGAAAAUUUCAGGCCAAUAUCCCCAAUGAACAUUGAUGUGAAAAUCCUCAAUAAAAUACUGGCACACCAAAUCCAAUAGCACAUUAAAAAGCUUGUCCAUCACAAUCAAGUUGGCUUCAUCCCUGGGAUGCAAGGCUGGUUCAACUUAUGCAAAUCAAUAAACAUAAUCCAUCACAUAAAUGAACCAAUGACAAAACCACAUGAUUAUCCCAAUAGAUGCAGAAAAGACCUUUGAUAAUAAUCAACACCCCUUUAUGCUACAGACUCUCAAUACAUUAGGUAUUGGUGGAACAUAUCUCAAAAUAAUAAGAGCUAUUUAUGACAAACCCACAGCCAAUAUCAUACUGAUUGGGGAAAAGCUGGAAGCAUUCCCUUUGAAAACGGGCACAAGAUAUGGAUGCUCUCUCUCACCACUCUUACUCAACGUAGUAUUGGAAGUUCUGGCCAGGGCAAUCGGGGAAGAGAAAGAAAUAAAUGGUAUCCAUAUAGGAAGAGAGGAAGUCAAAUUGUCUGUUUGCAGAUGAUAUGAGUGUAUAUUUAGAAAACCCCAUUGUCUGAGCCUAAAAUCUCCUUAAGCUGAUAAGCAACUUCAGCAAAGUCUCAGGAUACAAAAUCAGUGUGCAAAAUUCACAAGCAUUGCUAUACACCAAUAAUAGACAGAGAGCCAAAUCAUGAGUGAACUCCCAUUCACAAUUGCUACAAAGAUAAUAAAAUACCUAGGUAUCCAACUUACAAGGGAUGUGAAGGACCUCUUCAAGGAGAACUACAAACCACUGCUCAAGGAAAUAAGAGAGGACACAAAGAAAUGGGAAAACAUUCCAUACUCAUGGAUGGGAAGAAUCAAUAUCAUGAAAAUGGCCGCAAUGCCCAAAGUAAUUUGUUGACUCAAUGCUAUCCCCAUCAAGCUACCAUUGACUUUCUUCACAGAAUUACAAAAAACUACUUUAAAUUUCAUAUGGAACCAAAAAAGAGCCUGCAUAGCCAAGACAAUCCUAAGCAAAAAGAGCAAAGCUGGAGGCAUCAUGCUACCUGACUUCAAACUAUACUACAAGGCUACAGUAACCAAAACAGCAUGGUACUGGUACCAAAGCAGAUAUAUAGACCAAUGGAACAGAACAGAGGCCUCAGAAAUAACACCACACAUCUACAACCAUCUGAUCUUUGACAAACCUGACAAAAGCAAUGGAGAAAGGAUUCCCUAUUAAAUAAAUGGUGUUUGGAAAACUAUGUAGCCCUAUGCAGAAAACUGAAACUGGACCCCUUCCUUGCACCUUAUACAAAAAAUAAUUCAAGAUGAAUUAAAGACUUAAACGUAAGACCUAAAACCAUAAAAACCCUAGAAGAAAACCUAGGUAAUACCAUUCACGACAUAGGCACUUUGGGAAGCCGAGGUCAGUGGAUCACCUGAGGUUGGGAGUUCAAGACCAGCCUGACCAACAUGGUGAAACCCUGUCUCUACUAAAAAUACAGAAUUAGCCAGGUGUGGUGGUGGAUGCCUGUAAUCCCAGCUACUUGGGAGACUGAGGCAGGAGAAUCGCUUGAACCCAGGAGGCAGAGGUUGUGGUGAGCUGAGAUUACACCAUUGCACUCCACCCUGGACGACAAGAGUAAAACUCCAUCUCAAAAAUAAAAUAAAUUUAAAAAAUGUGGUACUGUAUACCAUGAAAUACUAUGCAGCCAUAAAAAAGAACGAGAUCAUGUUCUUUGCAGAAACAUGGAUUGAACAAGAGGCCAUUAUCCUUAGCAAACUAACAGGAACAGAAAACCAAGUUCUCACUUGUAAGUGGGAGCUAAAUAUAAGAAUAUAUGGACCCAAAGAGAGGAACAACAGACACUGAAGCCUACUAAAAGGUAAAGGGUGGGAGGAAGGAGAGAAGAAGAAAAAGAUAACUAUGGGUACUGUGCUUGUUACCUGGGUAAUGAAAUAAUCUGUACAUCAAAGCCCUGUGACACAAGUUUACCUAUAUAACAAACCUGCAUAUGUACAGUGAACCUAAAAUAAAAGUUUAAAAAGAAAAUACAUGCAGUAUUCAUGACAGUACAGUACUGCCAUAAGAAUGGAUAUAUUAAUCAGUGGAACAAAAUUGUAAAUCCAUAUAAUAAACCCUAACAAUGAUGGUCAAUUGAUUAUUGACAAAAGUGCUAAGGCAGUUAAAUGGGGAGAAAGAAUAAUCUUUUCAACUAAUGAUGAUGGGACAAUUGAACACAUGCGAAAAGAAAUACAUUUGGACCCUUCACACCAUGCACAAAAAUUAAGCUAAACAUUAAUCCAUCAUUCAGGAUACCUUUUGUAAAACCUAGUUUCAGUUAAUGAUUUUUCUCAGCACCAGUUUUUUUCUUCUUUAGGUGCAGUGUUUUUUAUACCUGAACUUCAACAGUGGAUCACACUAUAUAAUUUACCCUUAUAUAAUUAAUAAUAGCCAGAAGUAUUGCCUUUUAACACAGAGGAAGAGCAGAAUAUCAUGUAUAUGGUUACCAUGUCGGGGGAGGGGUCUAACCACAGAAGGAUCAAAGAUCAUCACAAUGCUAGCCAUUGUUAAUGUAAGUUCCAAAACUUCGGCCUACUUUUUUUGGUGUCAGAGUAGCCAAGGAAAACACUAAGCAAUCAAGCACUGGAUGAAACAACAGUUAACUUACAUAAAAAAGAAACAGCAAGAUCAGCUUCAAUGAUGGCAUUGGUCUUUCAUGGAUAGGGUGUCCCCUAUAUCCAGCGGGUUCUCUGGCAGCCAACCUGUCUCUCCUGUCCCGUUCCUGUCCCACACUGUUUAGCACUGAUGGGCAAAAGGAACAACUUGAAGGCUUAAUCCACUGUUCUUCAUUCUUUCACUGUGUAUCCUUAAAGGCCUGUCAUUGGCAUCGUGAGGUAAUCCUUUUCUCAUUGGCUAGCUAACUGUGUUGGUAGCUUCAGUUCUUCCAGACUGAGUCAGGAUAUAACUUUUUAAGUUUAAUGCUCUGUUGAUUUUGUCAAUCUAUUGCUCUGUUCAGCUUACACCUUUACACAGUGUUCAGAGCUCUCAAAAAUGUGUAGCCUUAAGCAUUUUGCUCUGCUUUGGGUAUGAAAUAAAUGUUUGAUGGAUUCUG